AUUGAACGCUGGCGGAAUGCUUUACACAUGCAAGUCGAACGGCAGCACGGGGGCAACCCUGGUGGCGAGUGGCGAACGGGUGAGUAACACAUCGGAACGUGCCCAGUCGUGGGGGAUAACGUAGCGAAAGCUACGCUAAUACCGCAUACGAACUCUGGUUGAAAGCGGGGGACUCGCAAGGGCCUCGCGCGAUUGGAGCGGCCGAUGGCAGAUUAGGUAGUUGGUGGGGUAAAGGCCUACCAAGCCGACGAUCUGUAGCUGGUCUGAGAGGACGACCAGCCACACUGGGACUGAGACACGGCCCAGACUCCUACGGGAGGCAGCAGUGGGGAAUUUUGGACAAUGGGCGCAAGCCUGAUCCAGCCAUUCCGCGUGCAGGAUGAAGGCCC
Molecule: ribosomal RNA, 389 nt
Filed under: uncultured bacterium
Lineage: Bacteria
Description: bacterial SSU rRNA
Rfam family: Bacterial small subunit ribosomal RNA
Source: RNAcentral